Molecule: ribosomal RNA, 497 nt
Filed under: uncultured bacterium
Lineage: Bacteria
Description: partial 16S ribosomal RNA
Rfam family: Bacterial small subunit ribosomal RNA
Source: RNAcentral
GAUGAACGCUGGCGGCGUGCCUAAUACAUGCAAGUCGAGCGAACAGACGAGGAGCUUGCUCCUCUGACGUUAGCGGCGGACGGGUGAGUAACACGUGGAUAACCUACCUAUAAGACUGGGAUAACUUCGGGAAACCGGAGCUAAUACCGGAUAAUAUAUUGAACCGCAUGGUUCAAUAGUGAAAGACGGUUUUGCUGUCACUUAUAGAUGGAUCCGCGCCGCAUUAGCUAGUUGGUAAGGUAACGGCUUACCAAGGCGACGAUGCGUAGCCGACCUGAGAGGGUGAGCGGCCACAGUGGAACUGAGACCCGGUCCAGACCCGUGCGGGAGGCAGAAGUAGGGAUUCUUCCGAAAUGGGCGAAAGCCUGACGGAGCACCGCGGCGUGAGUGAUGAGGUUCUUCGAAUCGUAAAACUUUUUUAUGGGGGAAAAAAAAAUGUGUAAGUAACUAUGCGCGUCUGGAGGUUACCAAAUAAAAAAACCACGGCUAACUACGGG